RNAcentral lists this ribosomal RNA (504 nucleotides) under Triticum aestivum (bread wheat). RNAcentral describes it as "partial small subunit ribosomal RNA". The record is from RNAcentral. Lineage: Eukaryota; Viridiplantae; Streptophyta; Magnoliopsida; Poales; Poaceae.
AUGAUUCUCACGGUGGCAGCAACAAUCUAUUUCUUUGCUGAAGUCGCACAAAUAAAGGGCGAAAGUGUAGAAUAUGUGCUCAAUUGUUUCUGUAUGGUGCAACAUAAUGACAAUGGCCAAUGCUAUGGUUGUACGACUUAUGGAAAUGUUGAUUUGAAGCACCCUGUCAAUGCUGAUCAAUACGAAGGUCGCCACUCUCGCCCGCACAAAACAUGGUGCGGUUUCGUCCAUCCAGGCGUACCUGCAUACAUCAAGAAUGAGGACAGGCUGGCGGAUGAGGAGGCUAGGAUAAGACGUGUAAACAUGUGCCGUGAUGAACCUCCUAGUCUGGCAAAAUCGGAUGGUGCAAAAAUGCCUGCUGGUUUGGGCAAGAGAGAAGGUGAUGGUUUGGCCAAGAGAGAGGAUGCUUGUUUGGCCAAGAGAGAGGAUACUGGUUUGGCCAAAAGAGAUGAUGGCCAGGGAAGCGGGAAAUACAUUGUACCUGCCAGACGUCAGUUGGUUUGA